This 552-nucleotide ribosomal RNA is filed under the name Rhinopithecus roxellana (golden snub-nosed monkey). Its description in RNAcentral is "partial large subunit ribosomal RNA". It matches the Rfam family "Bacterial large subunit ribosomal RNA", at positions 1816 to 2597 of the family's 2925-position model. The record is from RNAcentral. Lineage: Eukaryota; Metazoa; Chordata; Mammalia; Primates; Cercopithecidae.
CACCUCUAGCAUUACUAGUAUUAGAGGCACUGCCUGCCCAGUGACAUCUGUUUAACGGCCGCGGUACCCUGACCGUGCAAAGGUAGCAUAAUCUCUUGUUCUUUAAAUAGGGACUUGUAUGAAUGGCAACGCGAGGGUCUAACUGUCUCUUACUUUCAACCAGUGAAAUUGACCUGCCCGUGAAGAGGCGGGCAUAUAACAAUAAGACGAGAAGACCCUGUGGAGCUUCAAUCUACUAAUGUAACCAAGAUUAAUACAAACCCACGGGCCUAAUAUAAUCCACCCCUGCAUUAGAAAUUUUGGUUGGGGUGACCUCGGAGCAUAAUUAAACCUCCGAAUUAAAUCACGCCAAGACUACACAAGUCAAAGCAACUUAACAUUUAUAAUUGAUCCAAUAACUUGACCAACGGAACAAGUUACCCCAGGGAUAACAGCGCAAUCCUAUUCCAGAGUCCAUAUCGACAAUAGGGUUUACGACCUCGAUGUUGGAUCAGGACAUCCUAAUGGUGCAGCAGCUAUCAAGGGUUCGUUUGUUCAACGAUUAAUAGUCCU